GACGAACGCUGGCGGCGUGCUUAACACAUGCAAGUCGGACGGAAAGGCCCUGCUUUUGUGGGGUGCUCGAGUGGCGAACGGGUGAGUAACACGUGAGUAACCUGCCCUUGACUUUGGGAUAACUUCAGGAAACUGGGGCUAAUACCGGAUAGGAGCUCCUGCUGCAUGGUGGGGGUUGGAAAGUUUCGGCGGUUGGGGAUGGACUCGCGGCUUAUCAGCUUGUUGGUGGGGUAGUGGCUUACCAAGGCUUUGACGGGUAGCCGGCCUGAGAGGGUGACCGGCCACAUUGGGACUGAGAUACGGCCCAGACUCCUACGGGAGGCAGCAGUGGGGAAUAUUGCACAAUGGGCGGAAGCCUGAUGCAGCAACGCCGCGUGCGGGAUGACGGCCUUCGGGUUGUAAACCGCUUUCGCCUGUGACGAAGCGUGAGUGACGGUAAUGGGUAAGGAAGCACCGGCUAACUACGUG
This 468-nucleotide ribosomal RNA is filed under the name uncultured bacterium. Its description in RNAcentral is "partial 16S ribosomal RNA". It matches the Rfam family "Bacterial small subunit ribosomal RNA", at positions 28 to 507 of the family's 1533-position model. The record is from RNAcentral.